RNAcentral lists this ribosomal RNA (915 nucleotides) under Triticum aestivum (bread wheat). RNAcentral's name for it is "partial small subunit ribosomal RNA". Lineage: Eukaryota; Viridiplantae; Streptophyta; Magnoliopsida; Poales; Poaceae. The record is from RNAcentral.
AUGGAACCAACGAAAGCACCAAGUUAUUGGACAAGAAUAUGGAAUGAGCAGGACGUUCAGAUAAUGGUAUUCAUCAGCCUCGAGCUGCAGCUCUUACUGCUAUUCACCGGUACCACCCGGCGGCGAUGCAGAGUCGGUUGGCUGAGGUUCUUGGUUUGGUUGGCUUAUCUGGCAUCAUACGCUGUUGCCGCCUCUGCCAUUGGCCUCUUCUCCCAGUACGAGGACAAGUACAAACUAAGAAGCCUCGAGUCAGUUGAGCAUCUUCAAGCCCUGACGUUGCCCUUCCUCUGGCCACCUUUUCUCCUUCACCUCGGAGGCCCGGACAGUAUCACCGCAUUCUCCAUUGAGGACAACAAUUUAUGGACGAGGCAAUUGAUAAACCUCAUGUUCCAACUUGGUCUAGCCCUGUAUGUAUUUUGGAAGUCGUUCGACUUACUUGACUCUCAGUUGAUAAUAGUAGCGGUGCCCCUAUUUGUUGCUAGGAUGAUCAAGUACUGGGAGAGGAUAUGGGCGCUCAAGAGAGGAAGCCGGGACAGCCUCGAUUGCCGCAUGAAGAAUGAAGAUCCAAAUUCCCCAGCACCAGCUCCAGCUCCAUCCGGUGAUGCCGUGGCAUCUUGUGCUCUUAACUUGGGGCUUAGCGGCAGAGGACUCCUUGUUGGACGGACACUAUUACAGCUGGGAAAUAGGGCUGAGAUUGAGGUGCUGAGUGCUUUUGCAGGCACUGAGUCAACAGAAAGGAAGCUCAAGAUCAUACUGACGGAGCUCGGCAUGAUAUACGAUAUGCUAUACACCAAAACCAUGGUACUGCAUAGCCGCACCGGCAUCAUGCUCCGGUGCAUUGCCCUGGUAGCCAUGGUGGUGGCGUAUGUGCUAUUAUUGGGAAAUCAACAUAUGAAUGACCAAAAAGGAAUAAAU